RNAcentral lists this transfer RNA (67 nucleotides) under Hyalessa maculaticollis. RNAcentral describes it as "tRNA-Trp". The record is from RNAcentral. Lineage: Eukaryota; Metazoa; Arthropoda; Insecta; Hemiptera; Cicadidae.
AAGGUUUUAAGUUAUUAAAACUGUUAUCCUUCAAAGUUGAAAAUAUAAUUUUAUGUUAUAAACCUUA